UGAAGUUGGACCGAACCAUUAGGACGUGC
RNAcentral lists this non-coding RNA (29 nucleotides) under Homo sapiens (human). The record is from RNAcentral. Lineage: Eukaryota; Metazoa; Chordata; Mammalia; Primates; Hominidae.